AUGAACGCUGGCGGCGUGCCUAAUCCAUGCAAGUCGAGCGAACAGACGAGGAGCUUGCUCCUCUGACGUUAGCGGCGGACGGGUGAGUAACACGUGGAUAACCUACCUAUAAGACUGGGAUAACUUCGGGAAACCGGAGCUAAUACCGGAUAAUAUAUUGAACCGCAUGGUUCAAUAGUGAAAGACGGUUUUGCUGUCACUUAUAGAUGGAUCCGCGCCGCAUUAGCUAGUUGGUAAGGUAACGGCUUACCAAGGCGACGAUGCGUAGCCGACCUGAGAGGGUGAUCGGCCACACUGGAACUGAGACACGGUCCAGACUCCUACGGGAGGCAGCAGUAGGGAAUCUUCCGCAAUGGGCGAAAGCCUGACGGAGCAACGCCGCGUGAGUGAUGAAGGUCUUCGGAUCGUAAAACUCUGUUAUUAGGGAAGAACAAAUGUGUAAGUAACUAUGCACGUCUUGACGGUACCUAAGCAGAAAGCCACGGCUAACUACGU
Molecule: ribosomal RNA, 495 nt
Filed under: uncultured bacterium
Lineage: Bacteria
Description: partial 16S ribosomal RNA
Rfam family: Bacterial small subunit ribosomal RNA
Source: RNAcentral